ACACGAUGCUGUUUGUAGGUUUCCUGAGCACUGCCUUUGUUCAAGCUGUGCGCCACCUCUCUUGUUUUGGGGUGCCUUUCCAUACUUCCUUAUUCCAGUUUUGCAAAAGCUGCCAUCCUUUAAGGCAUCAAUCCCUGCUCUGAUAGCUAUAGUACAGUAGAAGACUUCUGAGACCAAGGAUAAAGCAACAAAGCUACAGACUACAGCUCUGGUUCUUGAGCAAAUGGCUCAACUACAAAUGCAUUUAUAAUAACUAACCUGACAAAGAUGUGACAAUGGAGUGAAAUAAUGCAGGAACAUUUUACGGACUGUAAGGUGUAGUGCACAUGUUAGUGUCAGUAAAUCCAAGGUCAAGUUUUACAACCUACAUGAAACUAGCUGUUCAUUAUUUUGGUCUUUCAAAAGAAUGUGGGCCAGGCGCGGUGGCUCAUGCCUGUAAUCCCAAUACUUUGGCAGGCCGAGGCGGAUGGAUCACUUGAGGUCAGGAGUUCGAGACCAGCCUGGCCAACAUGGGGAAACCCCGUCUCUACUAAAAAUACAAAAAUUAGUCGGGGCAUGGUGGCACACGCCUGUAAUCCCAGUUUCUUGGGAGGUUGAGGCAGAAGAAUCACUUGAACAUGGGAAGCGGAGGUUGCAGUGAGC
RNAcentral lists this long non-coding RNA (642 nucleotides) under Homo sapiens (human). Its description in RNAcentral is "non-protein coding lnc-THRSP-7:1". The record is from RNAcentral. Lineage: Eukaryota; Metazoa; Chordata; Mammalia; Primates; Hominidae.